This is a long non-coding RNA of Scleropages formosus (Asian bonytongue), 1999 nucleotides long. The record is from Ensembl. Lineage: Eukaryota; Metazoa; Chordata; Actinopteri; Osteoglossiformes; Osteoglossidae.
CAACAGUGCAUUAUGUCAACAGAGGGAGAGACUUGAAUGCAGAAACGUACAUUAUUAUUAUUAUUAUUAUUUAGCCAAUGUCUUUGUCCAAGCCAAGGCCAUCUACAACAGAAGAAAGAUUCUUAGAAUAGCACAAUUUGCUACGUAGCCUGAAAAACUCCAGUAAAAAUCUCAGGUGUAGAGAUGGGCCAAAUACUGUGUCAUUAAAAAAACUGUUCCCGGAGAAAAAAGUAAUAAUAAUACUAAUAGUAAUAAUAAUAAUAAUAAUGAUUUCUGGACGUGUACUCUAAAGUAAUGAGGGGAAUGAAAGCGCGCGCUCUCAGUUGAAACUCCGCGCUUACGAGCCUUCCCGUUUCAGUAAGUCGCGCGGCGCUCCGUGACGUCACGUACGCGCGCACUGUACGCGGAACGUUCCUCCGAGCGCGUGCUGCUGGCGCCGUGAGCACAUGGAGAAGGGCUCAAGGUGGAGAAGGGUGGAAAAGUACGUCGUUUCUCUUUCCGGAGACGGUUUAUUAUUUUUCCACGCACAAAGUGGAAUAAUGUGGACAUCUCAGCUCGAGAAGAAAAGCGAACCGAGGGAAGGGCUCCGUACCACUGGGACUGCAUUGAACAGUUGCGGAUGGAUCGAUGGAUCAAUGGAUCGAUGGCUUCAUUAACACUAAGGAUGAUUCGGAGCUCCGGACAUGUGGGAGGUGUAAGGCCCGGAGAGAUAGAGGAGCAACCCAGCUUCCACUGGUGGGGAAAUAUGGUUUAAUACGUCUCACCGAAAGCCCUUUUGGACCGAAAGUGUCCUCCUCACCAACUACCAGCUUCAUCUCUAUCUUCGUCUGCAAGCAGACCACACCUGCUGUCCAGCCACGUCCCACGAGGGACCCCGUUCCUCUGCUGAUGACCCUCCAGCCCAGGCCGCUUCCUCCAGCUGACUCCGGCCGAUGUGAGGGUCUACUGCCUUCCCAUCCAGAUGAGGAUGAGGUCCACCUUCUCACCACCAUACCUUGAGACGGGGGCUAUAAACUGGAAUUUGAACUGCAUCUUCCAAGACUUCUGAUUGGCCGGCACCAGCGGAGAGCCAGCCAAUCACCUGGCACUGGCACGGAGGCCCUUAAACAGCGGGGACAGUGUUUCUCUCUUUAAGCGGGCUAUCGUGCCUUUCCCUUCCCCACAGGGGUGCUGGGAACACAGAUUAGUGUCGCGGUAGACGGUGCGGCUUGCUCGGUGAGAGAGGGGUCCCCGGUGAAAACCGUGCUGCGAAACUGCUGCGUUUGUUGAGAUGAGGAGGGAACCGGGCGCCUCGUCUGUUGGUGUGCAUCCCGCACCCUGGCGAAACACGACAACUGUCAAAAGAAGGAACCGGCGGUGCGAAAGGUGUCAAAAGAUGGCACCGCGGCCCGAGCGCGGCAUGGGAACCUCCUGCUGCUCCCGCGAGGUCACGACGGGCGAAGGAGGAAUGCGCGCGGGGAGUCGGCAGACCGAUCGGCAGCUGGCCGCCGGGGUUCGUGUGUCAGCGCUUGUCAGUAGGCGGGACGGCGGUGGCCCGGUGCGCAGGGGGUGUUGAGGGCCACACCUUGACAUGAGGCCAAAGGGUUACAGUCAUUGUUCUCCCAGAAGGAGCGGCACUCUUCACGCCGAACGCGAAGAACGAGCUUUGGCACGGUGACGGAUGACAGAAGGGCGGGAGGUGCGAGCGAUCCCGUUUCACGUAUCUCCGGGGGGCGCCUGGCGUGACAAUAUUCGUCUCGUGUCGGAGGGACUGUUUUUAGAGCGAGCGGAAGAGGAAAAAGGCAGCGGCAUCGCAGGCGCUGUCUAACCGCUGUCCCCUCGCCCAGCGCCCCCACCGUCAAUACAGCCCUUGUUUCCCGCGGAGGCCCCAGAAGUCGCCCUCGUCGGACCGCGACGCCGCGUCGGCCCGGGCGUGUUUACACACGUGUCGGGGAGCGGAGCGGGCGAGCGGCGGGGACGGGGAGCGGGUCGGGGGGCACAAGCGCCGCCGUUGUCCUUC